This 1071-nucleotide ribosomal RNA is filed under the name Bacillus sp. N30721VB03_1492r. RNAcentral describes it as "bacterial SSU rRNA". It matches the Rfam family "Bacterial small subunit ribosomal RNA", at positions 403 to 1465 of the family's 1533-position model. Lineage: Bacteria; Bacillati; Bacillota; Bacilli; Caryophanales; Bacillaceae. The record is from RNAcentral.
GANNGAUGAAGGUUUUCGGAUCGUAAANNNCUGUUGUUAGGGAAGAACAAGUAUCGUUCNAAUAGGGCGGUACCUUGACGGUACCUAACCAGAAAGCCACGGCUAACUACGUGCCAGCAGCCGCGGUAAUACGUAGGUGGCAAGCGUUGUCCGGAAUUAUUGGGCGUAAAGCGCGCGCAGGCGGUUUCUUAAGUCUGAUGUGAAAUCUUGCGGCUCAACCGCAAGCGGCCAUUGGAAACUGGGAGACUUGAGUGCAGAAGAGGAGAGUGGAAUUCCACGUGUAGCGGUGAAAUGCGUAGAGAUGUGGAGGAACACCAGUGGCGAAGGCGACUCUCUGGUCUGUAACUGACGCUGAGGCGCGAAAGCGUGGGGAGCGAACAGGAUUAGAUACCCUGGUAGUCCACGCCGUAAACGAUGAGUGCUAAGUGUUAGAGGGUUUCCGCCCUUUAGUGCUGCAGCUAACGCAUUAAGCACUCCGCCUGGGGAGUACGGCCGCAAGGCUGAAACUCAAAGGAAUUGACGGGGGCCCGCACAAGCGGUGGAGCAUGUGGUUUAAUUCGAAGCAACGCGAAGAACCUUACCAGGUCUUGACAUCCUCUUGACCUCCCUAGAGAUAGGGAUUUCCCUUCGGGGACAGGAGUGACAGGUGGUGCAUGGUUGUCGUCAGCUCGUGUCGUGAGAUGUUGGGUUAAGUCCCGCAACGAGCGCAACCCUUGACCUUAGUUGCCAGCAUUCAGUUGGGCACUCUAAGGUGACUGCCGGUGACAAACCGGAGGAAGGUGGGGAUGACGUCAAAUCAUCAUGCCCCUUAUGACCUGGGCUACACACGUGCUACAAUGGAUGGUACAAAGGGCUGCAAGACCGCGAGGUUUAGCCAAUCCCAUAAAACCAUUCUCAGUUCGGAUUGUAGGCUGCAACUCGCCUACAUGAAGCCGGAAUCGCUAGUAAUCGCGGAUCAGCAUGCCGCGGUGAAUACGUUCCCGGGCCUUGUACACACCGCCCGUCACACCACGAGAGUUUGUAACACCCGAAGUCGGUGAGGUAACCUUUGGAGCCAGCCGCCGAAGGNGA